GACCUUUUCGAUCAAUUGCAAGGAGCCACAAUCGUCUCCAAAAAUCAAUCUCAGAUUGGGAUACUACCAGCUGAGAGUCAAGGAAGAAGAUAUUCUAAAAAUUGCCUUUCGGUAUAGAUAUGGUAUGUACGAGUUUAAGGGUCUCAUUGGAUGAUUUGUAUAAUGGUUCAUUAAUAUUGGGUACGGUUCGGUAUGUGCAAGAUUCAUUAAUAUUCAAAUUUAACCAUGUUUGGAUAAUAGUCUAUUAAUGUCUUGUAGUGACAGUUAUUU
RNAcentral lists this long non-coding RNA (270 nucleotides) under Carica papaya (papaya). RNAcentral's name for it is "long non-coding RNA (CPAP_LNC016091)". Lineage: Eukaryota; Viridiplantae; Streptophyta; Magnoliopsida; Brassicales; Caricaceae. The record is from RNAcentral.